This 2807-nucleotide unclassified non-coding RNA is filed under the name Leishmania donovani. Its description in RNAcentral is "gene:LdHU3.19.1960(CDS-product:ATP-dependent_zinc _metallopeptidase_putative)". The record is from RNAcentral. Lineage: Eukaryota; Euglenozoa; Kinetoplastea; Trypanosomatida; Trypanosomatidae.
CAUCUUCGGCUUGACAAGCACUCCUCGAUUCCCGAUACCAUUGCAGCAGCGAGGCCGAUGCAGCAGCAGAGCGGCCACACCUCUUUUUAAAUCCCCUCGAUCUCUCUCCCGCGUCUUCUCAUCUAUUCCUGUUGCUCUUAGCGAAGUCCUUCCCUUUAGCGUGCGUGAGCUUGCGGACUGUCGCUGUCGCACGUACCAACUAUUGGCCUUCCCGCGCGCUUUCUCUCGCACGCACGCAGUGCUAGGCGGCUGCGCGGCUCAGCGGUGACUGCACCGCCCGGCCUCAUCCGCGAGAUUUUCCUUCUCUAUCUACACAAUGGAUCCUCUGCAACGGGAGGCGUCCAAGAACGGUGAGGAGGGGGCGGCGGGGGCAGAGAGGCCCUCCUACUUCCGCGGCUUCUUCGACGCAGAGAAGCGCCGCAAGGUGGUCAACCAUGACCCUACCGUAGGCCAGGCCAUUGGCGGCGCCGUUGUAAUGGCACUCCCGGUGGCGCUCAUCAUAGUUUUGGUGAUGCGUCGACACGCGCGCCUCGCCACUCAGGAGGCGUCCGGCGCCGCGCCGAAGGAGGGCGGCUUCUUCAGCGAGAUGCAGAAAAUGAUGCGGCAGACCAUGAAUCCGAUGGGUGAGAAGAACUUCAAGGUGUCGGUGAAGGACACGAAGUUUAGCGACGUCAUCGGUGUACCAGAGGCACUGGCAGAGGUACAGCAGUACGUCAACUUCCUGAAGACGCCGCAAGUUUUCACCCGGCUCGGCGGCCGCCUACCGAAGGGUUGCAUUCUCACAGGAGAGCCCGGCACCGGCAAGACGCUGCUCGCAAAGGCGGUGGCCGGCGAGGCGAGCGUUCCCUUCUACAGCUGCAGUGGUGCUGACUUCAUCGAGGUGUACGCCGGCUCCGGACCAAAGCGAGUGCGCGAGCUCUUCGCGGCGGCCAAGAAAGAUGCCCCGUCUGUUAUCUUCAUCGACGAGAUCGACGCCGUCGGCUCGCGCAGCAGCGGGAACGGUGCGAUGGGUCUCAGCAGCGAGGAGAAUCGAACCAUCAAUCAACUGCUGGCCGAGCUGGACGGGCUGCAACCGAACGAGGCGGUUGUCGUGUUCGCGGCUACGAACUUUGUGGACAGCCUAGACAAGGCACUCCUGCGCGAGGGCCGCUUUGACCGCAAGGUCGAGAUCCCGAUGCCGGACAGGCAGGCUCGCCAGGACCUCUUCAACCACUAUCUUAGCCGCAUCGCCUGCGAGGAUGCCGGGUCGCUCUCGAAGAAACUGGCCGAGCUGACUCCUGGAGUGUCGCCAGCCACCAUCGCAGCCAUCGUCAACGAAGGUGCUCUCAGCGCCGCCAUAAAGGACAAAGCCGUCGUCGCCGCCGUGGACCUCCUCCCCGCGAUUGACGACGUACUCGUCGGCAAGAAGCACCGCAGUCGCAUGAGCGACGAUGCUGCGAGAAGGGUGGCACUACAUGAGAGCGGCCACGCACUCGUGGCAUGGCUGCUGCCAGAGCAGACAGACGUGGUCAAGAUCUCCAUCACGCCGCGCGGCCCCGCCGGAGGCUUCACCCAGCAGGUCGGCCGCGAGGUGUUGGACAUGGCGACUGAGUUUUCGCUCUUCACGGACAUUUGCGUCAUGCUGGGUGGGCGGCUGGCGGAGAUGACGCAGCACGAGUCCCUCACCACUGGUGCUCAGGACGACUACCAGCGGGCGACUCAGACGGCCAUUCGUGAGUUCCUUGCGUUUGGUAUGUCUCGCCAGGUCGGUCUCCUCUCGUACGAGCCGCAGCGACUCAGCGAGGGUCGCAUGCACCAGAAGCACUCGGAGGCAGCGCAUAAGAUGGCGGAGGAGGAGGCGGCCCGGCUGGUCGCUGCCGCGUCUGAUCACGUGAAGAUGCUCUUGCGGUCUCAUGAUGCACUACUGCAGAAGCUCGCGGCUUCGCUCUUCGAGAGGAAGGAACUGCUGCGCGAGGAUAUAGAAGCGAUUGUGGGUCCACGCCCUGGAACCAGCUCGGCCGUGUCGGAGCAGACGCGUGCGGCACUUCGCCGCUUCGUCGACGCGUCUGAAGCCGCAGCGCUGCAACGCCAGACCGCAAGAGAGGCGAUGUGUGCCACCCUUUCUACUGCGUAAGGUGGAAGGUGGGUGGCCGACACAGAUACACGCAUGCAGGUGCAACUCCUGGUUGCCUUUUGUUCAGGCCCCUUCUUUUCUCUCCGUAUUUGCUGCUCUCUUUUCGGUGCUGAUCAAGCAGUGCUGCUGCCAAGUGGGGCGGCGCUGCUGAUCGCACGGAGUGCUCAUGCCUGUAGCUCACAGAGGUGUGUUGACACCUGCGGCCAAGUCGGUCGCGUUGCGCUGUUGUUGAGCGACGCUUGCUAGUUGUGCAAAGAGAGACAGAGGCCCGUUGCGGCACGCCCGCAUCCACAUGAACACAGAUGUGCUGCCGCCGCACUUCGCCAGUGGAGGUGGGGAUAAUUAGCUUGGAUCUGCAUCUAAAGCAGCACCCCUGGGACAGACUUGUGAGCGUCCCCGCUGCGUUGAGCGCGUGAGGAGGUGUGCCUUAUCCUGCACAGGGCGGAGUAGCUGAGGGUCGCCACUGUCGCUUGCCCGUGCAGGUCAGUGCGCCGACUCUUUCAGCGCCGCUGCUGUGAAUCGGUAUCUGGACAACAGCCUCGCCACGCUGACCCGCGCAAAUCGCGCUGGUCAGCACUCUAUCUAGUUGCUCUCUGCUCCUUGGUUUCGUGUUCGCAUGCAUCUGUUUGCCAGCUCCCUGUUUUCCUCCCUCUCCUGACUUCUUGAUCCGCUCUCAAACGUCGACACCCCAAAG